CACUGAAUUCAGUUAGCCGCUGAUUGUUGCACCCGACCGACGUGCUCGCACCGUAGCUGACUUGAUCCGCGAGUUUUAGUUGUUUGACAAUUUAACGCUUUGAGCGUCAUCAAAUUGCUUUUUCGUUUUGUUUGUGUUGCGUAGUUUUUUUGGUUCGGUUCUGUCGAACUUCAAUCAAGAUCAGCAUAAAACAAACUUCUGAAAACAAGGUGGCUAUCAAAAAAUGGAUUGAACAUUUAAAUUCGACGAAAGAAGUGUGCAAAAAUAAAAAAAAACUAAGCUACAACAGAAAAGUAAGCCGAGUAUAUAACCACAGAAAGUCAAGCCAACUGAUAUGAAUGGAAAAUAUUUGUGAAUGUCAUUACACUCGUGAUACUAAUUUAUGAGAUCAACACAGAAACGACGAGCGAGCUCCGGAAACUGAAAUUUGAAGUAUAACAUUCGAGAAGGAGUCCGCAGUUACUAAAACGAUUAAAAGGGGUUUCGGUUGCCAAGAGAAACUGGACGGCAAUACAGGUCCAAUUCGAUCGGAAUGAACUCAGUCGCUGAUGUCUGAUGCCUGUCACAGCAUUUAAACCAAAACGAGGUCAAUGCGCGCCACUUGUCGUCUGUUGUUUUUAGUUUUCCAUAACGAACGAAGCAUUACUCUUAUGUGCCCAAUCUGCAAGCCUGCCUGACACAGAAUUUGGAUCUUUUUGGGCGGUUAUGGAGGCGAAUCACAGCUGGCAGAGCCCAUUCUAGCGUACAUAACGCUUAAAUCUGUCUAAAACCUACAUUACCAUAUAUUGAAAUAGCAGGUGCGCACAAUGACGCGGCGCGUCUUGGUGCGACGCAGCGCUUCCCCGCGUGAAUGCUAUCUGAACGCAUCACGAAUUUAAGCCCAUUUUCUGAAAGCCUAAAAGUAUGUUUAGUCGGGACGCCAAUCAACCAGCAAAAAGAAUGUGGCCUCAAUUUGCAGAAGCGCUUAUCGUUCAAAGCGUUAAGUAAACUCACACAGGCAGACAAAUUCGAGCUCGUGUGUGGCGAUGGUAUAGCGUCCGCGGUGCAAGUCGAAAAUAUUUGGUUACUCCACCAACACUUAAUCGCACAAGGAGCAACGCUUGAUCAGAUGUAAAAAAGAAAGAAGACUUACCGAACAAAGAAAAUACAUACAAUUAAAUACAAUAAAAAUAAUAAAAAAGAAUGAAAUGUUUUUACAUUUUUUAUGUUGUUUCAGACAUUUUUAUAAGAGUUACUCACAGGCUAUAGGGUAAGCGAUAAAUUGCAAUCGUCGGUAAUUAGGUAACAGGAAGAAGGAAGCUUUAAGUACAUUUUCCUCCAAAAAGUUGAUAACAGAAAUUUUGUUUGCUGAAGGUGCGACAGUCACUAUAUUUUUAACUCGUUAAGAUGUGUUUUUUUGUUCAAAAAAAGUUAUUUAACAAAAAAAAACAUUUUCUUGUUUUUUUUUGGAAAUCAAAAAGUAGAGUCUUUAAAAAUUUUAUUGAAAAGGGAGUUUACGAAUGAAAAUUAAAAAGAAGGAAAGUUAAUAGGAUAUCUGCAGCUUGAGAUAUAAGCAUUCAAAACGAGGAGGCAAACUAUUUUUUCCGUCCGUAACACUGUUUAAACCCUAGCACAGGGUAUAAUGAUUUCAGUCAGAAGUUUGCAACGCAGUGAUGGAAACGUUUCCGACCCCAUAAAGUAUAUUUAUUCUUGAUCAGCGUCACUAAAUGAGUCGAUCUAGGCAUGUCCGUCUGUCUGUCCGUUUCUACGCAAACUAGUCUCCCAGUUUUAAAGCUAUCGGGCUGAAACUUUCCCAAAGGUCUUCUUUC
Long non-coding RNA from Drosophila biarmipes, 1808 nucleotides. RefSeq lists it as uncharacterized. NCBI's taxonomy places the organism in Eukaryota, Metazoa, Arthropoda, Insecta, Diptera, Drosophilidae. The record is from RefSeq and is a predicted model, not a curated record. The transcript is spliced from 4 exons.